GACACGGAGAGUUUGAUCCUGGCUCAGAAUGAACGCUGGCGGCGUGCCUAACACAUGCAAGUCGAACGAGAACGGAAGGCUUCGGCCUUCUCAGUAAAGUGGCGCACGGGUGAGUAACGCGUGGGUAAUCUGCCCUUUGGUUCGGGAUAACGUUUCGAAAGGGGCGCUAAUACCGGAUAAGACCACAUUGGCUUUGGCCGGAGGGGUCAAAGAGGCUUUCGGGCCUUGCCGAGGGAUGAGCCUGCGUGACAUUAGAUUGAUGGUGGGGUAAAGGCCUACCAUAUUGUCAACGAUGUCUAGCUGGUCUGAGAGGAUGAUCAGCCACACUGGGACUGGAACACGGCCCAGACUCCUACGGGAGGCAGCAGUGAGGAAUUUUGCGCAAUGGGGGGAACCCUGACGCAGCAACGCCGCGUGAGUGACGAAGGCCUUUUGGUUGUAAAGCUCUGUCGCCCGGGAAGAAAGGGCCAUUCAGGAAAUGGGGUGGUUUUGACGGUACCGGGAAAGGAAGCACCGGCUAACUCCGUGCCAGCAGCCGCGGUAAUACGGGGGGUGCAAGCGUUAUUCGGAAUCAUUGGGUGUAAAGCGCAUGUAGGCGGUUGGGUGUGUCAGAUGUGAAAGCCCGGGGCUUAACCCCGGAAG
Molecule: ribosomal RNA, 642 nt
Filed under: Candidatus Adiutrix sp.
Lineage: Bacteria; Pseudomonadati; Thermodesulfobacteriota; Desulfarculia; Candidatus Adiutricales; Candidatus Adiutricaceae
Description: bacterial SSU rRNA
Rfam family: Bacterial small subunit ribosomal RNA
Source: RNAcentral